UGUUACCAAGGUCUCUUUGUCAAGGUGAAAGGGAGAGACACCUGCAGCAGAGAUGCGUACAGACACCUGGAAGAGAAUGUGAGAGACACGCGGGAGGCCGGUCCCGGCGGCAGAGACCAUGGCAGCCCUUGUCGUGACCUCAUGGAGGAUCAUGUGGACGAUUCUGUUAGAAAUCUGGCACAGCAAUGAACAUGGAAAUAGCCCACUCUGCUGCAUCGGGCCGUGGUGCUGGG
Long non-coding RNA from Talpa occidentalis (Iberian mole), 233 nucleotides. RefSeq lists it as uncharacterized. The record is from RefSeq and is a predicted model, not a curated record. Lineage: Eukaryota; Metazoa; Chordata; Mammalia; Eulipotyphla; Talpidae. The transcript has 4 exons.